Molecule: ribosomal RNA, 492 nt
Filed under: uncultured bacterium
Lineage: Bacteria
Description: partial 16S ribosomal RNA
Rfam family: Bacterial small subunit ribosomal RNA
Source: RNAcentral
AGUGAACGCUGGCGGUAGGCCUAACACAUGCAAGUCGAACGGCAGCACAGUAAGAGCUUGCUCUUACGGGUGGCGAGUGGCGGACGGGUGAGGAAUACAUCGGAAUCUACUUUUUCGUGGGGGAUAACGUAGGGAAACUUACGCUAAUACCGCAUACGACCUACGGGUGAAAGCAGGGGAUCUUCGGACCUUGCGCGAUUGAAUGAGCCGAUGUCGGAUUAGCUAGUUGGCGGGGUAAAGCCCCACCAAGGCGACGAUCCGUAGCUGGUCUGAGAGGAUGAUCAGCCACACUGGAACCGAGACACGGUCCAGACUCCUACGGGAGGCAGCAGUGGGGAAUAUUGGACAAUGGGCGCAAGCCUGAUCCAGCCAUACCGCGUGGGUGAAGAAGGCCUUCGGGUUGUAAAGCCCUUUUGUUGGGAAAGAAAAGCAGCAGGUUAAUACCCCGCUGUUCUGACGGUACCCAAAGAAUAAGCACCGGCUAACUUCGUG